UAAGUUGCCAAACGUUCUUCAAUCCACUUGAGAGUCCUCCGUCCGUUUCUCUGUUCACACACGCACUUGGUCUCGACUGUGUACGCACGCUGCCCUCUAAGCGUUCCGGGAUUCCCUUGCACUCUCCCCUUUUCUUCGGGCUUGGUUCUUCUCUGCCGUGAUAGUGCUCUGUGACGAGUGAGUGUGCGCCUGCUUUUCGGUGCCUUCGCGCAUUGUAUCUGCACAGAGAUCAUGUCUCGACUUCCCGGAGAACCACUGUCGGAGGCGGCGCAGCGUGAGCUGACGGCGCCAGACCGCCACCCGGAGGAUGGGGUGGUGAAUACGAAAACCAAAUCGCAACCGUCGGGUAUUACAGACCGUCAAGAUGACAAUCCCGAGUUGACAAAGAAGCCGCACGCAGAGGCGGACGACACCAACACAGGAGAGGCGAUGGACGAUGACGAUGCCGAGGCGGUUGCUGACAAGAAGCACUACUCGAAGUUUCGCCUGUGGUUUCAGAAGGUCGUGCCGCCGGGCGGUGUCAUCGCGAGCUCCUUCACCCUGGGCAGCUCCACUCUUGGCGCCGGUAUCCUUGGUCUGCCGGCCGCGUUCAACAGCAUGGGCUUUGUGACUGCGCUGCUUGUGCUCAUAUUGGUGACAGUGCUCACGAUCUUCUCUUUGUGGCUGCUGGCGCGGUGCUCCGACGCAUCGAAGGUUCGGACGUACGAGGAUGUGGCUCGUGUGCUGCUCGGCCGUGGCGCCGACUACGCGGCCGCUGUUUUCAUGCUCGGUUUCUGUCUCGGCGGCGCCGUCAGCUACAUCAUUUCCAUCGGUGACCUGCUCACUCCUAUCUUUGACGACCCUAGUGUGCCAGAGCUCCUGCGGACGAAGAUCGGCAACAGCAUCAUCACGUCCGCAGUGUGGCUCGUUGUCAUCCUACCCUUGUGCCUGCCCAAGAAUAUUGACUCCCUCCGGCACACGUCCAUCAUAAGCGUCACCAUGGUCGUGUUCUUUGUCAUCUGCAUUAUGCAAGACAGCUGCGAGUUCAUGGCGAAGAACGGGUGGCGCAAGGAUAUCAAGUUCUUCAACACUGGCAAUGGCGCCAUUCAGGGCCUGGGCACUGUCAUCUUCGCCUGCCUCGUCCAGAUCAACGCGCAGGAAGUCUACUAUGAGAUGGCGAAUCCGACGCCGCGAAACAUGGUGCGUAACAGCACCAUUGCUAUGAGCGGCUGCGGUCUCUUGUACGUUCUCGCUGGCGUGUUCGGCUGCGCGCGUUUCGGCUCCACGGUGAAGUCAUCCAUCCUGCUCAAGUACCAGCCGCGUGAGGCGCCGCAGUUCUGGUUCGCCUAUUUCGGCAUCGUCGUAAAGAUUUGCGUGGCCUUUGCGCUGCACCAGCUGCCGUUGCGCGACAGCGUCUACCACUUCUUCUCGUGGGACGUCUACCGCAUGCCCUGGUGGAGGAACGCCCUCAUUUGCGGCGGUAUCGCGGCAUUCGUGCUGGUCGUUGGCCUCCUAGUCCCGGACCUCAACAUAGUCCUCGGCCUCGUCGGCUCCCUCUGCGGCGGCUUCAUCGGCUUCAUCUUCCCAUCUCUCAUGAUCAUGUACGCGGGUAAAUGGAGCCUGAAGAAUGUGGGGUUGCUAGAGUGGUCGCUGACCUAUAUCCUCCUCCUUGUUGGCGUCGUCGCCGUCGUCUUUGGCACCUGCGCUUCCAUCUACUCGAUCGUCUGACUGUAAGGCUGAGGUGAUCAUGACCCAUUGGCGCUGCGGGAGGGGGAGGUGCCGGCUUGGAACUAGCGCUGCAGCCACCAUGUUCUUUGUGCGCGGUGUAGCGCAGAGUACUGUUACUGGCGCACGCAUUCGUGGAACGGCUUCUUCUAUAUACUUCACCAAGCACCUGUGGGCCUGUGUAGCCAGUGCUACUGGUUUGCGUAUCUGUGCCCGCGCCUGUCGCGUUGGGGUGCGUUUGUGUCUGCGCUUGCGGGGCGAACAAGGAGGACGCGGAGGCCGUUGCCGCACUUCGCACACACACACACACACACACACACAAGGACCGCGAUGCAUAUGCAUCCACGCCGGCGCACCCAGGUACCCGCACAGAAGGACAGAGAAACCUGCAGAAAGGCAAAAAAACGGGGGAAACCAGGAAAACAAGUGAAGCCCCUCCGUGUGGUCCGUCUGCCUGUUGCUGUCUGCUCCUCCCCGAUCCCGUCUCUCUCUUUCUCUGCUGCCUUCCUCCCUCCCCCACUUGCGAUUCUUUUUAUCUUAUUUGUUUGCGGCUGUCGUGUUUACGCUCUUUUCCUUGUUUGCCUUCGGCUACCUCGCUGCCCACCUCCCCUCCCCCUCCUCUUCUCGUGUGUGUGUGCUUUUCUUUUUGCCUUCCGUAAGUUUCCUUUUCUCCACGUCACACACUUUUGCGUGGCGGUGCGACUACGUGUGCGUUGGCUUGUGCUCGGCUGUCCUGCUUAUGUGAGGGCAUCGAUGUCAGCACACACGCGUGUCUCUCUCUGUCUGUGCAUUCUGGCAUCCCUUUCCUGUUCCCGCGUUGUAGUUACCAGAGGAGGUGUGACACCCGCGAUGGCACGUUGCCUCUGUGCUCCCUCCUCGCACCUCCACGUAGUGCUGCAAGCUUCUUUGCUCCACAUACUGCUCCCCUUCCUUUCGCAGCAAAGGUGCAUAUUUCAUAUGUAGGGAGGGGUCACGUAGAGGAGCGCAUGGUUCACAGCUGGGCGUCUUCUCUCUUCUUCUCUCCUCUUUUUUUUUCACUGUGUGCUAGGCCACUUUUCUAGCCUGUGGGUUGCCUUCUCCUGUGACGUUCGAGGAUGUGCGCAUCGGUGCGCUUCACGUGAUGGUGUGCUUCACUUAUCCUUUGGUUGGAUCAGAGAAGAUGGCGUCAUUGUGCUUGCCUUCUCGCUCCGACUUAAGGCGUGAUUCCGGACACCUCCGCCCUUCACAGCGUGAGCGCGCCGUGUUGUUCGUUUCGAGCUCUUACACAACGAAGGAUUUGACUCCGAGAACUGCAGCAGGAAAGCAAACGGUGAGAGAUGAAGCGCUCACGCAUUGCCGCACCUGUAUGUGUGUGCGUGUGUGUGGCAUGUGCUCGUCUUUGGUUGUGCAUCAAUACCCUCCUGCUGAGUGGUUGUAUGAACCCCCUCUCCUGCUCUGACCGUGUGCUCCUUCGACUUCUCUCUUCUCUAGACUAUUAUAUGCAUGUAUAUAUAUAUAUAUGUGUGUGUGUGUGUGUGUGUGUGCGUUUGGAUUCGCAUGCCAAGCGGAGAAGCGCCUAAGCGGGGGCACUUCAAGGAAUGGAGGCAUGCGAUGCGUUCCCAAUUCCCGUAUAUGUGAGACUACCAUCGCGAACACGCUUUCUCUGUCUGCGGCUUACAAUCCAUCCAGACGAGUCAUGGGGGAGGGAGGGAUCACUACCACGUGCUUCAACUGUUGCUGCUGCUAGCUAACAUGCAUGUACCAAUGCUUUGCACGUAGCUUCGUAUUGCAGCAACAUUGAGCAGCAUCUGCGUACCCCCUCUUUCCUACUCUCCCUCUUGCACAUAUGUACAGAAGCGGACAAACCGGCACAGGCGCAGCACCGACACGUUUUUUUACUACUCCCUGGAAAACAUAUAUGUAGAAAAUGAAAAACAGAAAAAAAAAACGAAGUUUUGAGAAGUGCAACGAAGACAGAACCGCCGAUAGAAGCGAUAUGCCGAUGCGAUAGGGGACACGCAAAGAGGGACCCUUCGAAUGUAGGAUGGCUUUGAAGAGGAAGCGCGGAAUGCCCCCUACCUCCUUUUCCCCAACUCGAUCGCGGUGCCGCCGGGCUCGUCAUUGCCUCCCCUCCACCGUACCCAUAGGCCCAACGACGCGCUACUUUCCCUCCUCCCCCCCGCCUGGCUGACUUCUGGCCAAUUAUGCGCCGAGAGCAGGGAGAAUGCGGGCUGUCGAGUUUGGUUGCUGCUGCUGUUGUCCAUGCUCUUUUUUCCUUUUCUUCCGUAUUCUUAUACCCUCCUUCUCCCCUUCUUUUUCAUGAUUUUUUUUCUUGUUUGUGUGGCUUUCCGACAAUUCGAGUUCUUUAUGUUUCUUCCUCAUCGUUUGUUCCGAUGCUUCCAUCAUCGCGGGGGAUCGUUUUCAUGGCUCUGCCCGAGACACGCAGCCGAUUUUCUUUUUUUUCUGGAUUUCAGCAAAGUUGUUUCCCUCUUCUCUUUUCAUAGUUCUCUCGCUUGGUUCUCUUUCAGCUGCUUGUCUCUCUUGUGUCUUUCUUCGUCUGUCAUCAGGCGUGUACGAUCAAACGCACACGCACACACACAGGCGAAAGCGCACAAAUGUGGGCAAACAGCCGCCAGCAUGUACUGGAAGAUAUAGAGCUGCUGCUGACAUGGAGAAAGUGUGUGUGUGCGCGCGCUAAUCCAUGUGGACAGUUGUGUACGUAUGUGUCACUUUCUGUGCAGGUAUGUGCGUACGUGAUGCCACCUUCUCAUACAGCAUGCUAGCCGUGCAUCUUUUUUUCCAUUUGCUUUGAUACCGAUAUUCUUAUAUAUGUAUGUCUCCCAGAGCCGCGUCUGAGCGUACCUGCUUUUCGUGUUGUAAGGCAGCGUACAACAGUUCGAAUGGCUUGUGUGAAAACG
Molecule: unclassified non-coding RNA, 4601 nt
Filed under: Leishmania donovani
Lineage: Eukaryota; Euglenozoa; Kinetoplastea; Trypanosomatida; Trypanosomatidae
Source: RNAcentral